Molecule: ribosomal RNA, 474 nt
Filed under: uncultured bacterium
Lineage: Bacteria
Description: bacterial SSU rRNA
Rfam family: Bacterial small subunit ribosomal RNA
Source: RNAcentral
CGCUAUCACUCCUACGGGAGGCAGCAGUGGGGAAUAUUGCACAAUGGGGGAAACCCUGAUGCAGCCAUGCCGCGUGUGUGAAGAAGGCCUUCGGGUUGUAAAGCACUUUCAGUAGGGAGGAAGGUAGUGUAGUUAACACCUGCAUUAUUUGACGUUACCUACAGAAGAAGCACCGGCUAACUCCGUGCCAGCAGCCGCGGUAAUACGGAGGGUGCGAGCGUUAAUCGGAAUUACUGGGCGUAAAGCGCAUGCAGGCGGCCUGUUAAGUCAGAUGUGAAAGCCCGGGGCUUAACCUCGGAAUUGCAUUUGAAAACUGGCAGGCUAGAGUCUUGUAGAGGGGGUAGAAUUUCAGGUGUAGCGGUGAAAUGCGUAGAGAUCUGAAGGAAUACCAGUGGCGAAGGCGGCCCCCCUGGACAAAGACUGACGCUCAGAUGCGAAAGCGUGGGGAGCAAACAGGAUUAGAUACCCUGGUAG